Molecule: ribosomal RNA, 492 nt
Filed under: uncultured bacterium
Lineage: Bacteria
Description: partial 16S ribosomal RNA
Rfam family: Bacterial small subunit ribosomal RNA
Source: RNAcentral
AGUGAACGCUGGCGGUAGGCCUAACACAUGCAAGUCGAACGGCAGCACAGUAAGAGCUUGCUCUUACGGGUGGCGAGUGGCGGAUGGGUGAGGAAUACAUCGGAAUCUACUUUUUCGUGGGGGAUAACGUAGGGAAACUGACGCUAAUACCGCAUACGACCUACGGGUGAAAGCAGGGGAUCUUCGGACCUUGCGCGACUGAAUGAGCCGAUGUCGGAUUAGCUAGUUGGCGGGGUAAGGGCCCACCAAGGCGACGAUCCGUAGCUGUUCUGAGAGGCUGAUCGGCCACACUGGAACUGAGACACGGUCCAGACUCCUACGGGAGGCAGCAGUGGGGAAUAUUGCACAAUGGGCGCAAUCCUGAUCCAGCCAUACCGCGUGGGUGAAGAAGGCCUUCGGGUUGUAAAGCCCUGUUGUUGGGAAAGAAAAGCAGCGUGAGAAUACCCCGCUGUUCUGACGGUACCCAAAGAAUAAGCACCGGCUAACUUCGUG